Molecule: small nucleolar RNA, 147 nt
Organism: Impatiens glandulifera
Lineage: Eukaryota; Viridiplantae; Streptophyta; Magnoliopsida; Ericales; Balsaminaceae
Product: small nucleolar RNA snoR145
Exons: 1
Source: RefSeq, a predicted model, not a curated record
UUUCGAAGGUCCCAGCAGGGAGGAAGCUCCAUUAGCGAGGCCUCUCUAACACUAAUUUAUACCUUCGUAGAGUUAUUAUUUGUCGAACUGAAAGACACUACAAAUCAUAUUCACUAUUGGUGUGUUUAGAAAUCUGUCUACAUCUUA